RNAcentral lists this ribosomal RNA (302 nucleotides) under uncultured soil bacterium. RNAcentral describes it as "bacterial SSU rRNA". It matches the Rfam family "Bacterial small subunit ribosomal RNA", at positions 26 to 340 of the family's 1533-position model. The record is from RNAcentral.
AGGACGAACGCUGGCGGCGUGCUUAACACAUGCAAGUCGAGCGGAAAGGCCUUUCGGGGUACUCGAGCGGCGAACGGGUGAGUAACACGUGAGUAAUCUGCCCAUCGCUUCAGGAUAGCCAUCGGAAACGGUGAUUAAUACUGGAUAUGACAUUCCUUCGCAUGUUGGGGUGUGGAAAGUUUUUUCGGCGGUGGAUGUGCUCGCGGCCUAUCAGCUUGUUGGUGGGGUAAUGGCCUACCAAGGCUUUGACGGGUAGCCGGCCUGAGAGGGUGACCGGCCACGACCGUGGGACUCGGAGACCA